This 389-nucleotide unclassified non-coding RNA is filed under the name soil metagenome. RNAcentral's name for it is "partial contains 5.8S ribosomal RNA, internal transcribed spacer 2, and large subunit ribosomal RNA". The stretch from base 1 to 120 matches the Rfam family "5.8S ribosomal RNA", at positions 35 to 154 of the family's 154-position model. The record is from RNAcentral.
GAUGAAGAACGCAGCGAAAUGCGAUAAGUAAUGUGAAUUGCAGAAUUCAGUGAAUCAUCGAAUCUUUGAACGCACCUUGCACCCUUUGGAAUUCCAAAGGGUAUGCUCGUUUGAGUGUCAUUGUACUCUCACACUCUCCGAUCCUUUGGAUUUGGGGAGCGGUGGACUUGGGUGUUUGCUGCUUUCAUUGUGGCUCACCUCAAAUGUGUCAGUGCACCUCUUGAUUGGACAUAGUACGGCGUGAUAAGUGUCUUCGCCGGCUCCUCGCAAAGAGGGUGGCCGAUCGGGAGCUCUGUUGCUUCAAACUGUCUUCGGACAAUCUUCUGGCGACUUGACCUCAAAUCGAGUAGGACUACCCGCUGAACUUAAGCAUAUCAAUAAGCGGAGGA